CGUCACAGGAUUUUCCGACUCACCGGAAUGACGUAAAAAAGUGACGACACCGAAAAGCAAACUAAAGCAAAGCAGCAUGCAGUGUGUCAGGCGCUUCUUGAUACGUUUUGAAGUAUGUGCUAGACCGCGCCGAGCUUGUGGUCGGGCUGUGCGAACUUGGCGGCAGGAGGAAGGCAACGUGCCACAUGUACUGUUCGGUGGCACUGUUCGUGGAACGGCGAUUGUUUCGACUACAUCAGGGCUGUGUUCUCCGGCGGAUUGCGUGCUGGUGUGUCACAAGCCUCUGUGUUCAUGUUGGAAACUGCCAUUCAAGACUCCUGUGGACGCGUAUCUAGAGGACAUAUGUGUGAUGCAGUUGGCGUUGUUGCUGUCCGAGAGGAGCUCGAGCAGGAAUUGCCACAGCUGGAUCUGGCCGCUGCCUGCGUGGAGAGGAACAAUGACAGUGUGUGUUAGGCCUGCUAGCAAGAUCACGACCUGUGAAGAGAGAGAGUGGGACAUGCCCAUUCUGGAGGACUGGCCAAGAGCGGACACACACCCAUGGCACAUAGCGAAUGGCUAAUUGUAAAUAACUAAAUCAUGGAAUCUGCGCAAGAUGAUUCACUGUUUCAUCAAGAAAUCGGUGUGCUUCAAAGAACUCUGUGAGCCGACAUUGUAUGUCCAGGUUUUAUGUGGCAAUCGUAGUGGGACAUGCCCAUUCUGGACGAUUGGCCAAGGACGGAGAUACAAUCAGUGGCGCAUACUGAGUGGCAAAAUUAAAGAAAGUAAAGUAAAUCAAAUAACUCAUUAAAUGUAUUUCACCAUUCCACUAACAGAUCGGUGUGCUUUGAGAUCCUUAUUAGGCGACGUUAUAUGUUCAUGUUUUGUGCAGGAAGUUAUAUUUUGUGUGUGUGUGUGUGUGAUGAAAAACACAGGUGCGAAUACUUGGUUAGUACGCAGGGGUUGCAUAGGCCACUUCGCUGCUAGUUUCAUUUAACCUCUUUAUGUGUAUCAACAAAUACGUAUAUCCGCCUAGACAGCGACCAACCCAGCACCACCCAACAUCCAGUCAGCCACGCAAAACCCAGGAAAGUAGGCAACGAAAGCUUCGCUUUAAUAAGCAGUGAACCCUGAGACAUCAUAGGAGAAAUAAUUACCAUGUUAACUUCAAAAGGUAGAAGUAAUAAAGCAAAGGGAAAUGAAAGUGAACGAAAAGCUAACUUGUCGUAGCUGGGAGCCGAACUCACACUUUCCGCAUUGCGCGUGCAGUGCUUCACCGAUUACACUAGCGCGGGGCCAUCUUCUCUUCCACUUCUGUGGGUGUUCGUAUGUGUGCAAGGUUAGCUUUGGUUAGCUUUGGCUAAGGCGGUGGACGCACGUGUUUAACGCAGUGUACGUGAGCUUAGGAGCUGGCAAUUGGCCAAUAAAACCUCGCAUGCUUGAGCGAAAACAAUAAGGGCAUUUGUCGGUCUUUGCUAGUCACAACCAUACGUAGAAACAUACAAUGAAGUCAGAGAACGCAAAAUCGUCAUGCUUAAUUAGUUCAAAUGUAGAAAUAAUAAAGUAAACGGAAAUGAAAGCGGAUAAGGUGGUAGCCGAACCUACCGUAUUCCGUAUUUCACGCAUUGGCUAUAGUGCCGCAAACGUUCUUUGUCGCGUGGCCGCGCUGCCCAUUUAAGCUGCCAUGUCCCCCUUUGACUCGGGCGCUCACUGACGACGUCUCACUCGUCGGUUCAUUAAAGAGAACACACAACAACGCCGACCAACGGGGCGGCUUUCGUAGUCAUCCGAUGGCUCAUACUCACGCGCCCAACGCUGACUCACGAUUCUACUCCUCACCACGUGCAAGUCAGGUCCAAUUUCGCGUCCGCGUUGCCUGACCUAUGCAUGCGUAUUUUGUUUUUGUUUUGACUCGGAGACGGCGGCUGCUGGGAAAAUCAGCGGUGGCUACGGUUCCCGCAGGACCACGAAUUGCGUGACCGCGCGGGCUCCUACGCGGCCAGCCGCUGCGAUU
Non-coding RNA from Dermacentor albipictus, 1990 nucleotides. NCBI's taxonomy places the organism in Eukaryota, Metazoa, Arthropoda, Arachnida, Ixodida, Ixodidae. The record is from RefSeq and is a predicted model, not a curated record.